AGAGAACAUAUUAUUCUCAGUAAUAAGAAAAGCUUCCCAACCCUCAGAUUCAUAAUAUCUAAUUGCCAAAAUCACAUAGAUACAACCGCAUAUGUUUACCAGAACAUGUUUAUAAGUCA
This is a long non-coding RNA of Juglans microcarpa x Juglans regia, 119 nucleotides long. RefSeq lists it as uncharacterized. The record is from RefSeq and is a predicted model, not a curated record. The transcript is spliced from 3 exons. Lineage: Eukaryota; Viridiplantae; Streptophyta; Magnoliopsida; Fagales; Juglandaceae.